GAUACGACCGUACCGCAAACCGACACUGGUGCGCGAGAUGAGUAUUCUAAGGCGCUUGAGAGAACUCAGGAGAAGGAACUCGGCAAAUUGACACCGUAACUUCGGAAGAAGGUGUGCCCUAUUAGUGUGUAGUGAACAACGAAGCAUGAAUGGGUUGCAAAAAAUCGGUGGCUGCGACUGUUUAUUAAAAACACAGCACUCUGCAAACACGAAAGUGGACGUAUAGGGUGUGACGCCUGCCCGGUGCUGGAAGAUUAAAUGAUGGGGUGCAAGCUCUUGAUUGAAGUCCCAGUAAACGGCGGCCGUAACAAUAACGGUCCUAAGGUAGCGAAAUUCCUUGUCGGGUAAGUUCCGACCUGCACGAAUGGCGUAACGAUGGCCACACUGUCUCCUCCUGAGACUCAGCGAAGUUGAAAUGUUUGUGAUGAUGCAAUCUCCCCGCGGAAAGACGGAAAGACCCCAUGAACCUUUACUGUAGCUUUGUAUUGGACUUUGAACAGAUCUGUGUAGGAUAGGUGGGAGGCUUUGAAGCAGGGUCGCUAGAUCUUGUGGAGCCAACGUUGAAAUACCACCCUGGUGUGUUUGAGGUUCUAACCUAGGUCCAUUAUCUGGAUCGGGGACAGUGCAUGGUAGGCAGUUUGACUGGGGCGGUCUCCUCCCAAAGCGUAACGGAGGAGUUCGAAGGUACGCUAGUUACGGUCGGACAUCGUGACGAUAGUGCAAUGGCAUAAGCGUGCUUAACUGCGAGACUGACAAGUCGAGCAGAUGCGAAAGCAGGACAUAGUGAUCCGGUGGUUCUGUAUGGAAGGGCCAUCGCUCAACGGAUAAAAGGUACUCUGGGGAUAACAGGCUGGUACCGCCCAAGAGUUCAUAUCGACGGCGGUGUUUGGCACCUCGAUGUCGGCUCAUCUCAUCCUGGGGCUGUAGCCGGUCCCAAGGGUAUGGCUGUUCGCCAUUUAAAGAGGUACGUGAGCUGGGUUUAAAACGUCGUGAGACAGUUUGGUCCCUAUCUUCUGUGGGCGCUGCAGAUUUGAGGAAGCCUGCUCCUAGUACGAGAGGACCGGAGUGGACACACCUCUGGUGUAUCGGUUGUCACGCCAGUGGCAUUGCCGAGUAGCUAAGUGUGGAAGAGAUAACCGCUGAAAGCAUCUAAGCGGGAAACUCGUUUCAAGAUGAGAUCUGCCGGGGCCUUGAGCCCCCUAAAGAGUCGUUCAAGACCAGGACGUUGAUAGGUCAGGUGUGGAAGCUA
RNAcentral lists this ribosomal RNA (1249 nucleotides) under metagenome. RNAcentral describes it as "bacterial LSU rRNA". It matches the Rfam family "Bacterial large subunit ribosomal RNA", at positions 1635 to 2876 of the family's 2925-position model. The record is from RNAcentral.